GCCGGGGAUGACUGCCAGCAGCUUCUCCAAACUCAUCUUUACCUCAGAAGAGAGAGGGGGUCUGGAGGGAAGCAAGGAAGACCACAGCCUCUGAGGGCCCCAUCACUGAACAAGACCAGAAGAUGUAUACUCAGCUGAAAUCCCUAACCGUUACCUUCCGCAGUCCAUCCAGGCCCUGAAACUGCUUCUUCAGCAUGUCCUCCAAACUGUGAGAGAGACCCAGCCAAGAGGCUGAACUGAUUCCCCAUCCUUAUCAGACCAAUGACGCUUUCUUCGUCUGGGUUAAGAGACAUUAUCCAAGGACACUUGCACCUCGCUGGACCAUAACCUGUGGUCCUCACCACACCUGCAGCUGUUAAGGUGGCUGGGAUCACUCCCUGAAUUCAUCACACCCAACUCAAGCGGGCAACAGACACUCCUGACCCGUGGGCCAUCACUUGUUCAGAGGAUCCUUUAAAGGUUAAAUUUACCUGGUGGGAUUCCAGAGGUGGAGCCAGGUCCACAAUUUCCAGAUAAAAUAUAAAAAUUCGGGUUUGGGGAUUUAGCUUAGUGAUAGAGCACUUGCCUAGCAAGCGCAAGGCCUUGGGUUCGGUCCUCCGCUCAAAUGUAUAUAUGAAUUCCCAAGUGCUAUUCAAACCUGGUUCCCCUUUCUACUAUGUCUUCUCUGCAUUGACUACUGUUCUAGAUAGCUUUAUGUCAACUUAAUACAAGCUAAAGUCAUCUGAGAGGAGGGAACCUCAAUUAAGAAAAUGCCCCCAUAAGAUCAAGCUAUAGUGGCAGUGGUGGCACACGCCUUUAAUCUCAGCACUUGGGAUGCAGUGGCAGAUGGAGCUCUGUGAGUUCAAGGCCAGCCUGGUCUACAGAGCUAGUUCUAGGAUAGCCAGGGACACAGAGAAAAUCUGUCUUGACCAAACAGAAAAAAAAAUAAAGAAAAAAAAGAAAAUCAGGCUGUAGGUAAGCUCUGUAGGGCAUUUUAUUUUCUUAAUUAGUGAUUGAUGGGGGAGGACCUGGUCCACUGUGGUGUUUCCAUCCCUGGGCUAAUGGUCUGGGUUCUGUAUGAAAGCAGGCUGAGCAAGCCACCAGAAGCAAGCCAGUAAGCAACACCCCUCCAUGGCCUCUGCAUCAGCUCCUCUCUCCAGUUCCCUGCUGGUUGAGUUCCUGUCCUGACUUCCUUCGAUGAACAGUAAUAGUGAAGUGUAAGCCAAAUAAACCCUUUCCCCCCACAACUUGCUUUUUGGUCCCAUAGUGCUUCAUUGCAGCAAUAGAAACGCUAAGACAACUACCCAAUUCUAGGACAGAAAUAAACAGAAAUAAAUCUGUAGCAGGAAGUUUCUGUGUCCAGCCAGCAACUCCCAAAUAACCAGCAGCUGCUUCCUAAAUAAUUGACUUGGAGGCUUAACAUUACUUAUAAACCCUUGGCCGGUGGCUCAGGCUUAUUACUAACUAGCAUGUAGGCUUAAAUUAACCCAUAAUUCUUGUCUAUGUUUAGCCAUGUGGCUUGGUACCUUUUCUCAGUGCAAUAUUCUUCAUCUUGCUUCCUCUAUAUCUGGCCAGCUAUUCCUGACCUCGCCCUUCCUUUUCCGAGCAUUCUUAGUUUUGGUUGCCCCACCUAUACUUUCUGCCUGGCUACUGGCCAAUCAGCAUUUUAUUAAAUCAAUUUGAGUGACAAAUCUUUACAAAGUAUGAGAGGAUUAUUCCACAGCAUAAAUCCCCUACGACAGCGUUUAUGUUCUAACACCUGGGUAAAAUUAGCUCAUAUUGUAAAUACUACUGACUUUUGUCUAAAAGAGGAGUUAAAUGCUGAAAGUAUGUUAGGUGCAUGUCUUGUUCCUGUUUGUAAACCUGUCUAGGAUAUGUUAACCUAUCAGGUUAAACCUACCCGUUAUAAAGAUUUUUACAGUCAGGGAAGGGCUUCUAAAGACAAAGUAGUAAGUGCAACAGAACUCCAACUUCCCUGUGUUACAGUACAUCCAAAUGAUACAUGCUAAAAUACACCCCCAGGACAUCCCCAAAGGAUAAACAAAUUGUUCCCAUACUGAAGCUAUCCUCUAUGGGAUGGCCAUAUUCCUUUGUCUGAAGGAUGGUUUUUCACUUGUGCACAAUACGCCUAUAAUUAUAUUCUUGCUAACUUGUUUCACAAUACCCACUGUUGUUUAAGCAGACUGUCUGUAUUUCCCCAACAUCAAGGAAGGAAAAACCUCAGUCAGGCAGUGGUGGUGCACAUCUUUAAUCCCAGCCCUUGGGAGGCAGAAACAGGCAGAUCUUUGUGAGUUUGAGGCCAGCCUGGUCUACAGAGCAAGUGCCAGGACAGCCAGGGUUACACAGAGAAACCCUUUCUCAAAAAAACAAACAAACAAACAAAAGAAUACUUUGCUCUGUCAUAUGUUAGUCCUGUGACUUGGGGUAGUCCAUGUGGCCUCUAAAACAAGGAAGUAUAAAUCUUCAGUGGAUGUAAAAAUAUGUAAUCAUAUGAAAUAUUUGAAAAAGAAAGGUAAGGAGGGAAAACUAGAUAGCCAAUAGUUUUCUACCCAAAGACUUCAGUGAUUUCAUUGGUACUUUAUUUUAGUCUAAAAUCUUUGCAGUUUCCAAAAAUUUCUGAUUGCAAUGAGAUCUAAAGAGACUGUGGAAACAGGAGCUACAUGCACAUGUGGCUUCACUUAUUAUUUAGGACCUAUAUUUCCUUACAUGGCUGGAUGCAGACUCUUAGAAACUCCUCAUUAACUGUUUUGGCAAAAUUACCUGAAUAAAGUGUACAGUUCACAA
Molecule: long non-coding RNA, 2763 nt
Organism: Peromyscus eremicus (cactus mouse)
Lineage: Eukaryota; Metazoa; Chordata; Mammalia; Rodentia; Cricetidae
Exons: 2
Source: RefSeq, a predicted model, not a curated record